This 2640-nucleotide ribosomal RNA is filed under the name human gut metagenome. RNAcentral's name for it is "bacterial LSU rRNA". It matches the Rfam family "Bacterial large subunit ribosomal RNA". The record is from RNAcentral.
UUAAGCGACUAAGCGUACACGGUGGAUGCCCUGGCAGUCAGAGGCGAUGAAGGACGUGCUAAUCUGCGAUAAGCGUCGGUAAGGUGAUAUGAACCGUUAUAACCGGCGAUUUCCGAAUGGGGAAACCCAGUGUGAUUCGUCACACUAUCAUUAACUGAAUCCAUAGGUUAAUGAGGCGAACCGGGGGAACUGAAACAUCUAAGUACCCCGAGGAAAAGAAAUCAACCGAGAUUCCCCCAGUAGCGGCGAGCGAACGGGGAGCAGCCCAGAGCCUGAAUCAGUGUGUGUGUUAGUGGAAGCGUCUGGAAAGGCGCGCGAUACAGGGUGACAGCCCCGUACACAAAAAUGCACAUGCUGUGAGCUCGAUGAGUAGGGCGGGACACGUGGUAUCCUGUCUGAAUAUGGGGGGACCAUCCUCCAAGGCUAAAUACUCCUGACUGACCGAUAGUGAACCAGUACCGUGAGGGAAAGGCGAAAAGAACCCCGGCGAGGGGAGUGAAAAAGAACCUGAAACCGUGUACGUACAAGCAGUGGGAGCACAGAGCAAUCUGUGUGACUGCGUACCUUUUGUAUAAUGGGUCAGCGACUUAUAUUCUGUAGCAAGGUUAACCGAAUAGGGGAGCCGAAGGGAAACCGAGUCUUAACUGGGCGUUAAGUUGCAGGGUAUAGACCCGAAACCCGGUGAUCUAGCCAUGGGCAGGUUGAAGGUUGGGUAACACUAACUGGAGGACCGAACCGACUAAUGUUGAAAAAUUAGCGGAUGACUUGUGGCUGGGGGUGAAAGGCCAAUCAAACCGGGAGAUAGCUGGUUCUCCCCGAAAGCUAUUUAGGUAGCGCCUCGUGAAUUCAUCUCCGGGGGUAGAGCACUGUUUCGGCAAGGGGGUCAUCCCGACUUACCAACCCGAUGCAAACUGCGAAUACCGGAGAAUGUUAUCACGGGAGACACACGGCGGGUGCUAACGUCCGUCGUGAAGAGGGAAACAACCCAGACCGCCAGCUAAGGUCCCAAAGUCAUGGUUAAGUGGGAAACGAUGUGGGAAGGCCCAGACAGCCAGGAUGUUGGCUUAGAAGCAGCCAUCAUUUAAAGAAAGCGUAAUAGCUCACUGGUCGAGUCGGCCUGCGCGGAAGAUGUAACGGGGCUAAACCAUGCACCGAAGCUGCGGCAGCGACACUAUGUGUUGUUGGGUAGGGGAGCGUUCUGUAAGCCUGUGAAGGUGUACUGUGAGGUAUGCUGGAGGUAUCAGAAGUGCGAAUGCUGACAUAAGUAACGAUAAAGCGGGUGAAAAGCCCGCUCGCCGGAAGACCAAGGGUUCCUGUCCAACGUUAAUCGGGGCAGGGUGAGUCGACCCCUAAGGCGAGGCCGAAAGGCGUAGUCGAUGGGAAACAGGUUAAUAUUCCUGUACUUGGUGUUACUGCGAAGGGGGGACGGAGAAGGCUAUGUUGGCCGGGCGACGGUUGUCCCGGUUUAAGCGUGUAGGCUGGUUUUCCAGGCAAAUCCGGAAAAUCAAGGCUGAGGCGUGAUGACGAGGCACUACGGUGCUGAAGCAACAAAUGCCCUGCUUCCAGGAAAAGCCUCUAAGCAUCAGGUAACAUCAAAUCGUACCCCAAACCGACACAGGUGGUCAGGUAGAGAAUACCAAGGCGCUUGAGAGAACUCGGGUGAAGGAACUAGGCAAAAUGGUGCCGUAACUUCGGGAGAAGGCACGCUGAUAUGUAGGUGAAGUCCCUCGCGGAUGGAGCUGAAAUCAGUCGAAGAUACCAGCUGGCUGCAACUGUUUAUUAAAAACACAGCACUGUGCAAACACGAAAGUGGACGUAUACGGUGUGACGCCUGCCCGGUGCCGGAAGGUUAAUUGAUGGGGUUAGCGCAAGCGAAGCUCUUGAUCGAAGCCCCGGUAAACGGCGGCCGUAACUAUAACGGUCCUAAGGUAGCGAAAUUCCUUGUCGGGUAAGUUCCGACCUGCACGAAUGGCGUAAUGAUGGCCAGGCUGUCUCCACCCGAGACUCAGUGAAAUUGAACUCGCUGUGAAGAUGCAGUGUACCCGCGGCAAGACGGAAAGACCCCGUGAACCUUUACUAUAGCUUGACACUGAACAUUGAGCCUUGAUGUGUAGGAUAGGUGGGAGGCUUUGAAGUGUGGACGCCAGUCUGCAUGGAGCCGACCUUGAAAUACCACCCUUUAAUGUUUGAUGUUCUAACGUUGGCCCGUAAUCCGGGUUGCGGACAGUGUCUGGUGGGUAGUUUGACUGGGGCGGUCUCCUCCUAAAGAGUAACGGAGGAGCACGAAGGUUGGCUAAUCCUGGUCGGACAUCAGGAGGUUAGUGCAAUGGCAUAAGCCAGCUUGACUGCGAGCGUGACGGCGCGAGCAGGUGCGAAAGCAGGUCAUAGUGAUCCGGUGGUUCUGAAUGGAAGGGCCAUCGCUCAACGGAUAAAAGGUACUCCGGGGAUAACAGGCUGAUACCGCCCAAGAGUUCAUAUCGACGGCGGUGUUUGGCACCUCGAUGUCGGCUCAUCACAUCCUGGGGCUGAAGUAGGUCCCAAGGGUAUGGCUGUUCGCCAUUUAAAGUGGUACGCGAGCUGGGUUUAGAACGUCGUGAGACAGUUCGGUCCCUAUCUGCCGUGGGCGCUGGAGAACUGAGG